UGCGUGCCUGGUUUGUGG
This 18-nucleotide non-coding RNA is filed under the name Arabidopsis thaliana (thale cress). The record is from RNAcentral. Lineage: Eukaryota; Viridiplantae; Streptophyta; Magnoliopsida; Brassicales; Brassicaceae.